RNAcentral lists this ribosomal RNA (704 nucleotides) under uncultured crenarchaeote. RNAcentral describes it as "bacterial SSU rRNA". It matches the Rfam family "Archaeal small subunit ribosomal RNA", at positions 83 to 770 of the family's 1478-position model. Lineage: Archaea; Thermoproteati; Thermoproteota. The record is from RNAcentral.
UUACGGCUCAGUAACACGUGGCUAACCUGCCCUUGGGAUGGGAACAACCCCGGGAAACUGGGGCUAAUUCUCAAUAGGUGAAGAACUCUGGAAUGAGUCUCCGCCCAAAAGACGCUUGCGCCAUGCUUGUAGGCGUCGCCCAAGGAUGGGGCCGCGACCGAUCAGGUUGUUGGUGAGGUAACGGCCCACCAAGCCUUUUACCGGUACGGGCCGCGGGAGCGGGAGCCCGGAGAUGGGCACUGAGACAAGGGCCCAGGCCCUACGGGGCGCAGCAGUCGCGCAAACUUUGCAAUACACGAAAGUGUGACAGGGCUAUCCCGAGUGCCGCCCGCUGAGGGUGGCUUUUGCCCAGUAUAGCAAGCUGGGAGAAUAAGGAGAGGGCAAGUCUGGUGUCAGCCGCCGCGGUAAUACCAGCUCUUCGAGUGGUGUGGAUGUUUAUUGGGUCUAAAGCAUCCGUAGCUUGCUGAGUGAGUCCCCUGUUAAAUCCAGCAAAUUAAUUGUUGGUGUGCGGGGGAUACUGCUCAGCUAGGGGACGAGAGAGGCAGACGGUAUUUUCGGGGUAGGGGUGAAAUCCUAUAAUCCCGAGAAGACCACCAGUGGCGAAGGCUGUCUGCUAGAACGCGCCCGACGGUGAGGGAUGAAAGCUGGGGGAGCGAACCGGAUUAGAUACCCGGGUAGUCCCAGCUGUAAACUAUGCAGGCUAG